RNAcentral lists this ribosomal RNA (253 nucleotides) under uncultured bacterium. RNAcentral's name for it is "partial 16S ribosomal RNA". It matches the Rfam family "Bacterial small subunit ribosomal RNA", at positions 524 to 776 of the family's 1533-position model. The record is from RNAcentral.
UACGUAGGGUGCAAGCGUUAAUCGGAAUUACUGGGCGUAAAGCGUGCGCAGGCGGUUUUGCAAGCCGGAUGUGAAAUCCCCGGGCUCAACCUGGGAAUGGCAUUCGGGACUGCACGGCUAGAGUGUGUCAGAGGGGGGUAGAAUUCCACGUGUAGCAGUGAAAUGCGUAGAUAUGUGGAGGAAUACCGAUGGCGAAGGCAGCUCGCUGGGACAGUAUUGACGCUGAGGCGCGAAAGCGUGGGGAGCGAACAGG